RNAcentral lists this ribosomal RNA (406 nucleotides) under uncultured bacterium. RNAcentral describes it as "partial 16S ribosomal RNA". It matches the Rfam family "Bacterial small subunit ribosomal RNA", at positions 30 to 526 of the family's 1533-position model. The record is from RNAcentral.
AUUGAACGCUGGAGGCAGGCCUAACAACUGCAAGUCGAACGAGUGGCGGACGGGUGAGUAAUGUCUGGGACACUGCCCGAUGGAGGGGGAUAACUAAUGGAAACGGUAGCUAAUACCGCAUACCAUCGGAUGUGCCCAGAUGGGAUUAGCUAGUAGGUGGGGUAACGGCUCACCUAGGCGACGAACCAUAGCUGGUCUGAGAGGAUGACCAGCCACACUGGAACUGAGACACGGUCCAGACUCCUACGGGAGGCAGCAGGGGGGAAUAUUGCACAAUGGGCGCAAGCCUGAUGCAGCCAUGCCGCGUGUAUGAAGAAGGCCUUCGGGUUGUAAAGUACUUUCAGCGGGGAGGCGUUACCCGCAGAAGAAGCACCGGCUAACUCCGUGCCAGCAGCCGCGGUAAUAC